Molecule: ribosomal RNA, 1444 nt
Filed under: uncultured bacterium
Lineage: Bacteria
Description: bacterial SSU rRNA
Rfam family: Bacterial small subunit ribosomal RNA
Source: RNAcentral
GCUAUCUACAGGCUUAACACAUGCAAGUCGAGGGGCAGCAUGGUCUUAGCUUGCUAAGGCCGAUGGCGACCGGCGCACGGGUGAGUAACACGUAUCCAACCUGCCGUCUACUCUUGGACAGCCUUCUGAAAGGAAGAUUAAUACAAGAUGGCAUCAUGAGUCCGCAUGUUCACAUGAUUAAAGGUAUUCCGGUAGACGAUGGGGAUGCGUUCCAUUAGAUAGUAGGCGGGGUAACGGCCCACCUAGUCUUCGAUGGAUAGGGGUUCUGAGAGGAAGGUCCCCCACAUUGGAACUGAGACACGGUCCAAACUCCUACGGGAGGCAGCAGUGAGGAAUAUUGGUCAAUGGGCGAGAGCCUGAACCAGCCAAGUAGCGUGAAGGAUGACUGCCCUAUGGGUUGUAAACUUCUUUUAUAAAGGAAUAAAGUCGGGUAUGGAUACCCGUUUGCAUGUACUUUAUGAAUAAGGAUCGGCUAACUCCGUGCCAGCAGCCGCGGUAAUACGGAGGAUCCGAGCGUUAUCCGGAUUUAUUGGGUUUAAAGGGAGCGUAGAUGGAUGUUUAAGUCAGUUGUGAAAGUUUGCGGCUCAACCGUAAAAUUGCAGUUGAUACUGGAUAUCUUGAGUGCAGUUGAGGCAGGCGGAAUUCGUGGUGUAGCGGUGAAAUGCUUAGAUAUCACGAAGAACUCCGAUUGCGAAGGCAGCCUGCUAAGCUGCAACUGACAUUGAGGCUCGAAAGUGUGGGUAUCAAACAGGAUUAGAUACCCUGGUAGUCCACACGGUAAACGAUGAAUACUCGCUGUUUGCGAUAUACUGCAAGCGGCCAAGCGAAAGCGUUAAGUAUUCCACCUGGGGAGUACGCCGGCAACGGUGAAACUCAAAGGAAUUGACGGGGGCCCGCACAAGCGGAGGAAUAUGUGGUUUAAUUCGAUGAUACGCGAGGAACCUUACCCGGGCUUAAAUUGCAGAUGAAUUACGGUGAAAGCCGUAAGCCGCAAGGCAUCUGUGAAGGUGCUGCAUGGUUGUCGUCAGCUCGUGCCGUGAGGUGUCGGCUUAAGUGCCAUAACGAGCGCAACCCUUGUUGUCAGUUACUAACAGGUUCCGCUGAGGACUCUGACAAGACUGCCAUCGUAAGAUGUGAGGAAGGUGGGGAUGACGUCAAAUCAGCACGGCCCUUACGUCCGGGGCUACACACGUGUUACAAUGGGGGGUACAGAGGGCCGCUACCACGCGAGUGGAUGCCAAUCCCCAAAACCUCUCUCAGUUCGGACUGGAGUCUGCAACCCGACUCCACGAAGCUGGAUUCGCUAGUAAUCGCGCAUCAGCCACGGCGCGGUGAAUACGUUCCCGGGCCUUGUACACACCGCCCGUCAAGCCAUGGGAGCCGGGGGUACCUGAAGUGCGUAACCGCGAGGAGCGCCCUAGGGUAAAACUGGUGACUGGGGCUA